This 497-nucleotide ribosomal RNA is filed under the name uncultured bacterium. RNAcentral's name for it is "partial 16S ribosomal RNA". It matches the Rfam family "Bacterial small subunit ribosomal RNA", at positions 28 to 507 of the family's 1533-position model. The record is from RNAcentral.
GAUGAACGCUGGCGGCGUGCCUAAUACAUGCAAGUCGAGCGAACAGAUGAGGAGCUUGCUCCUCUGACGUUAGCGGCGGACGGGUGAGUAACACGUGGAUAACCUACCUAUAAGACUGGGAUAACUUCGGGAAACCGGAGCUAAUACCGGAUAAUAUAUUGAACCGCAUGGUUCAAUAGUGAAAGACGGGUUUGCUGUCACUUAUAGAUGGAUCCGCGCCGCAUUAGCUAGUUGGUAAGGUAACGGCUUACCAAGGCAACGAUGCGUAGCCGACCUGAGAGAGUGAUCGGCCACACUGGAACUGAGACACGGUCCAGACGCCUACGGGAGGCAGCAGUAGGGAAUCUUACGCAAUGGGCGAAAGCCUGACGGAGCAACGCCGCGUGAGUGAUGAAGGUCUUCGGAUCGUAAAACUCUGUUAUUAGGGAAGAACAAAUGUGUAAGUAACUAUGCACGUCUUGACGGUACCUAAUCAGAAAGCCACGGCUAACUACGUG